Myotis daubentonii (Daubenton's bat) is the source of this 3217-nucleotide long non-coding RNA. RefSeq lists it as uncharacterized. The record is from RefSeq and is a predicted model, not a curated record. The transcript has 5 exons. NCBI's taxonomy places the organism in Eukaryota, Metazoa, Chordata, Mammalia, Chiroptera, Vespertilionidae.
AAAUCUUUGUAAACUGCCACAGAAGGAAAGUGUAUUUAGAAGGGAAAUUGACAAGUUUUAAAGAGUAAUUGUACAAUCAUUUGAGGAGAGAGGAACACUGCAUUAGACUAACAAGGGUUUAAUUACCAAAAAAAGUUUAAUGUUGCUUUGGAAGGAAUAUUAAGUAAGUUGUCUUUGUCUCUUACUUUUUAAUUUUAGUCACUGAUUUAGCCUGUUGGGUCACAUUUUUUGUUAGUGCUGAAGGCUGCCAUGAAUCCCUAAUGAGGCCCCUUUGCACAUGAUUUUGGCACUUGGCCAAAAUCAACUUCCCAGCGGCAAGCUUUCUUUAAAGAACCUGGAGCAAUUUUUUUUUUUUUUAUUAGAAAUCAUGUCUGAAAACUGCCACAACCAGUUGUGUAGGCAUGUCAAAAUGACUUUAUACAGUAAAUAUGAAACAAGAAUUUUUUAAAAAAUGUUCCUGGUACUGUAGCUUUUGUUAUUAUGAAUUCCUGCUUGUGGUCACCUAAAGUACGUCAGAGCAAGAACAACCUUAAAGAAGAAGAUUUACUGAUUUUUUUGUUUUUCUCAGCAGAACAGAGUAGGGAUGGUUAUCUCAUUGAGAUAGAUACAGUACGAAAGGGUUAUUUAAAAACACUUCAGGAUAAAUAACAGAUGAAUUCUUAAAACUGUUAAUCUCUGGUAUCCUUGAAGAUUAAUUAGAAAAUGUCCAUGUGCCUAUAAAGCUAAUUCAAUGAAGAGUGGGCUGAACUUUGGGUCUAAACGAGACAAUAGCUGCCUUCGCAGUAUCAGCAGAAUGGUUGAUGGGAACGCACUCUACAUUUGGCAGAGAAUCAUGUGACCUUACGACUGAGAUUUUGUGAUGGUGCCAACGGAGACUUGGAUUGCAGCAACCGUCCUGACUUUUUUCUUCUUUUCUAGCCCGGCUCAGAAAAUGGUGGAUCUUAAUACUUGACUUUAGCCAGUCUCAGCAAGCGACUGAGCUUUGAAGCACAACUUCGCCUUUAUUCUGGGUUUUUGGCAGGCCACCAGGAGGCUGUCCCUUUCACGCCUGAUAAAUUCUGCUGCUUAUCUCUAAAUAGGAAAAGGAAAAAAAGGGGGGAAAAUAUAAACAGAAUAUUGAGGCAUAACAAGUGAAUCCUAAAAUUGUGUGUUGUGCAUUUCGGUUUUUUGCCUUUUCUUACUGCUGAUUUUUUUUUUUUUUUAAUGUUCGUAUCAUUUCUGCUUGCUGAAGAAUCCAAGGAGUUUUGUUUUUUGUUUUUUUGUUUUUCUUUGUGGGUUUUUUUUUUGUUUUGUUUUUUUUGGUUUAUAAUGAACAGGCAUUUGAACUGGGCAAACAGGACGACAGCAGCAGUGAUCAUGAGAUCAUUGCAGCAAUGUAGCAAACUGGCACCCUGCCUUCUCACCCUUUUGGUUCAGGAGACCAACGUGUGCAAUCCUCAUUUCUAAAGUCAGCACAGCCUGGAAGGAUUCCUGGUCUCUCCCACCUUCGACCACUACGCUGCCAGGGCCGGCAAGGAUUGGUGCAGCUUCUGCGCAGUGCUUUGUGCCUGGAAUACCGAGAAGGAAGAAAAAGAAGACGAGCACCCUGGUUCUUUUUGCAAGAAAGAACAGGAGCCCUGAAGAAAAAAAAUGCAAAAAAAGAAACCUGAGUGUGUCCCACUCCAUGCAACAGUGAUGAAAAAAAUGAGACUUUCCUGCUCAAAAACAAAAACAAACAAAAAUCCAAACCAAAACAAACUAAAAAAAAAAAAAAAAAAAAAGCAAACAUUGGCUUGUAUAACUACAGAGGCAUCGAGCUUUGUAAAGCAGCUUUGUAAGGCUUCAUGAGCAAAUGAGCCUUCUUUUCGUUUAUUAUUUCAAAAAUAAGGCCUAAUUAGCAAUGUAUUGCACUUGGUGAAAUCGCACCUUUCAUAUCAGGGACAAAAUUAAAAUGGAUAUGAGAAGUGAAGAAAGUGAUCAUAGGAGAAAAUCAUCUCAGAUCAACCACUGCAGAAGAACCAGAUUCCACUUCUGUGGCCAGGACUUUUAUGUUAUGGCUGGUCCGAUUGUUUUACCCUGCGUUCUCUGCUACUAAACCUUGGAUCAUUCCUAAAGUACAAAUUCUGUUCUCCAACCACAAACAAGGCUAAAAGAUCGGAGGAAAUUCAGUGAAUGUACAGGAUCGGGAUUGUGCAUUUUCCAAAGUGUUGAGCUUUCGAAUGCAACUAUUUAAGAUAGAGAAUCAUUUUUGUUCUUAGGCUGCCAGCCUUUUUAAGUUUCACGUUCAUUAAGUGGCAUUGCUCAAAUAGCUACAGAGUAUGCAUGGGAAUAUUUGGCUGUCUGAAUAGUUUGGAGAUUCAAAGAGAAAACUCGAGCUUCAGAGGUAUUAAAUUAUGACAUGCAAAAAAGUUUUUGUUUUAUUCUUAACUGCAACAGUAUAUAUUUAAAUCAGAUUGAAAGUAUUAUAUAUCCUGGAGCCAGCUUAACAGUUGUGCUAUAUAAAAGGCUAAUGGGAAGCCAAAUUUCAAUCAGGGUCCUAUUACUGGGAUAUAAUCCUUUUUGCAUGUAAUAGAACUAUGGUGUUGCUGUACAAAUCUGCUAGAAACAGAUUUUAACCCAUUUGUGGUCUUAUUCUUUGGAUCUAAUGGAAUGACUCUUAACUGUUCAUUGUUUGUAUUGUUUCUCAUAUUCUUCGUUAUUUUAAGGUCUGUAAAUGGUCAUUAUGAAUAUUCAGCUCAUCCUAACUUUUAUGUGUCAUAUAUCUAUUUCUACAUAUGUAUUACCAUUAGUAUUUAGAGGGAGAAGUUUAAAUGGACCCAACUGUAAUUUCUAAGCUAGCCUUAUCACCAAAGAAGAAGAAUUCUACCGCAGCAAACCAGACUUUUCCUAGUCCCUGAGACCCUAACUUGUGAGGUAUUUCAGUAACAUCACAAGUCAGGCUCUUGGGACCUAGGCGGAGGGGAACCAGCAGCUUUGGACCUUAUUGAUUGUCUGCAGUUACCACCAGAACAAAAGGACAUACAUAGAUUCUGCCCAGGAGAAAAGAACAAUGCUCUGAUUUAUAACCAGCAAUGUUUUCACCAGGACCCACCCCCAAAAAUACUAUUUUCAGAAACUGUCCUCUAAAGUGAUUACAGAGUGUCACUGAAUCGCAUUUGUUUUCUGUUAUAACAACCAUCCAAAAGCAAUAGAAGAUAUCUGUGCAAGAAGCAAAAUUAAAAUACAAGUGUUUCUAAAA